This 465-nucleotide ribosomal RNA is filed under the name Vreelandella stevensii. RNAcentral describes it as "partial 16S ribosomal RNA". It matches the Rfam family "Bacterial small subunit ribosomal RNA", at positions 338 to 795 of the family's 1533-position model. Lineage: Bacteria; Pseudomonadati; Pseudomonadota; Gammaproteobacteria; Oceanospirillales; Halomonadaceae. The record is from RNAcentral.
CCUACGGGAGGCUGCAGUGGGGAAUAUUGGACAAUGGGCGAAAGCCUGAUCCAGCCAUGCCGCGUGUGUGAAGAAGGCCUUCGGGUUGUAAAGCACUUUCAGUGGGGAAGAAAGCCUUGGGGCUAAUACCCUCGAGGAAGGACAUCACCCACAGAAGAAGCACCGGCUAACUCCGUGCCAGCAGCCGCGGUAAUACGGAGGGUGCGAGCGUUAAUCGGAAUUACUGGGCGUAAAGCGCGCGUAGGCGGUCUGAUAAGCCGGUUGUGAAAGCCCCGGGCUCAACCUGGGAACGGCAUCCGGAACUGUCAGGCUAGAGUGCAGGAGAGGAAGGUAGAAUUCCCGGUGUAGCGGUGAAAUGCGUAGAGAUCGGGAGGAAUACCAGUGGCGAAGGCGGCCUUCUGGACUGACACUGACGCUGAGGUGCGAUAGCGUGGGUAGCAAACAGGAUUAGAUACCCUUGUAGUC